RNAcentral lists this ribosomal RNA (743 nucleotides) under Thermoactinomyces vulgaris. RNAcentral's name for it is "bacterial SSU rRNA". It matches the Rfam family "Bacterial small subunit ribosomal RNA", at positions 28 to 752 of the family's 1533-position model. The record is from RNAcentral. Lineage: Bacteria; Bacillati; Bacillota; Bacilli; Caryophanales; Thermoactinomycetaceae.
GAUGAACGCUGGCGGCGUGCCUAAAUACAUGCAAGUCGAGCGGGAGAAUCAUCCUUCGGGAUGAGGAUCCAGCGGCGAACGGGUGAGUAAACACGUGGGCAACCUGCCCGCAAGACCGGGAUAACUCCGGGAAACCGGGGCUAAUACCGGAUAGUCCUUUUCCCCGCAUGGGGAAAAGGGGAAAGGCGGCUUCGGCUGUCACUUGCGGAUGGGCCCGCGGCGCAUUAGCUGGUUGGUGAGGUAACGGCUCACCAAGGCGACGAUGCGUAGCCGACCUGAGAGGGUGAUCGGCCACACUGGGACUGAGACACGGCCCAGACUCCUACGGGAGGCAGCAGUAGGGAAUUUUCCGCAAUGGGCGAAAGCCUGACGGAGCAACGCCGCGUGAGUGAGGACGGCCUUCGGGUUGUAAAACUCUGUUCUUGAGGAAGAAUUCCUUCCAGGCGAACAGCCUGGAAGGUUGACGGUACUCAAGGAGAAAGCCCCGGCUAACUACGUGCCAGCAGCCGCGGUAAUACGUAGGGGGCGAGCGUUAUCCGGAAUUAUUGGGCGUAAAGCGCGCGCAGGCGGCUGAUUAAGUCAGGUGUGAAAGGCUGCGGCUCAACCGCAGAGCGGCACCUGAAACUGGUCAGCUUGAGUGCAGGAGAGGGGAGCGGAAUUCCCGGUGUAGCGGUGGAAUGCGUAGAGAUCGGGAGGAACACCAGUGGCGAAGGCGGCUCUCUGGCCUGUAACUGACGCGAGCC